Molecule: ribosomal RNA, 271 nt
Filed under: uncultured bacterium
Lineage: Bacteria
Description: partial 16S ribosomal RNA
Rfam family: Bacterial small subunit ribosomal RNA
Source: RNAcentral
UACGGAGGGGGCGAGCGUUGUUCGGAAUUAUUGGGCGUAAAGCGUAUGUAGGCGGUCAAACAAGUCAGGCGUGUAAUCCCUCGGCUCAACCGAGGAGUUGCGUUUGAUACUAUUUGACUUGAGUAUAUGAGAGGAAAGCGGAAUUCCCAGUGUAGCGGUGAAAUGCAUUGAUAUUGGGAAGAACACCAGUGGCGAAGGCGGCUUUCUGGCAUAUUACUGACGCUGAGAUACGAAAGCCAGGGGAGCGAACGGGAUUAGAAACCCCAGUAGU